RNAcentral lists this ribosomal RNA (232 nucleotides) under uncultured bacterium. RNAcentral describes it as "partial 16S ribosomal RNA". It matches the Rfam family "Bacterial small subunit ribosomal RNA", at positions 15 to 237 of the family's 1533-position model. The record is from RNAcentral.
GAUCAUGGCUCAGGAUGAACGCUAGCUACAGGCUUAACACAUGCAAGUCGAGGGGCAGCAUGGUCUUAGCUUGCUAAGGCCGAUGGCGACCGGCGCACGGGUGAGUAACGCGUAUCCAACCUGCCUUACGACUCUUGGACAGCCUUCUGAAAGGGAGAUUAAUACAAGAUGUUAUCAUGAGUAAGCAUUUUCGCGUGAUUAAAGGUUUACCGGUGUAAGAUGGGGAUGCGUU